RNAcentral lists this ribosomal RNA (685 nucleotides) under Xylocopa hirsutissima. RNAcentral's name for it is "partial 28S ribosomal RNA". It matches the Rfam family "Eukaryotic large subunit ribosomal RNA", at positions 408 to 818 of the family's 3401-position model. The record is from RNAcentral. Lineage: Eukaryota; Metazoa; Arthropoda; Insecta; Hymenoptera; Apidae.
UUCAGGGGUAAACCUGAGAAACCCAAAAGAUCGAAUGGAGAGAUUCAUCGACGACGAUACCGGCUCCCGAUGGCGCGCGAUGCCCCGGUGGUACCCGCGAGGGUACCACAGCGAGCGGCACGCCGUCGUCGGCGAACGUUCCGGUGAUGUAGUCGUGCACUUCUCCCCUAGUAGAACGUCGCGACCCGUUGCGCGUCGGUCUACGGCCCGAGUGGGCGCCUGUGGCGUCGCAAUCUUGCGCACGCGGCAGACCCUCGGUCGCCCGGCCGGCUGCGCGACGGUACUCGUACGGUAUCGGGCCGCAACCAAUCCAUUCUCGAAUGUGUGUGCGUCUAGCCCGCCGCAAGCUCGGUCAGACUACCCGGUGGUACGGACUUUGCGCCGACGCCGGGCCUGGCCAGCUGUUAGCAGGCGGUGUCCUCGGACUGGCCAAGCUUCGAAUUACCGGUCGGCGACGCUACUGCUUUGGGUACUCUCAGGACCCGUCUUGAAACACGGACCAAGGAGUCUAACAUGUGCGCGAGUCAUUGGGAUCAUUGAAACCUAAAGGCGAAAUGAAAGUGAAAGUCGGCCUUCGCGUCGACCAAGGGAGGAUGGGCCGCGUACCCAUGCGGCCUCGCACUCCCGGGGCGUCUCGUUCUCAUCGCGAGAAGAGGCGCACCUAGAGCGUACACGUUGGGACCCG